UCGAGAAUUUUUCUCAAUGGGCGAAAGCCUGAAGGAGCGACGCCGCGUGGGGGAUGAAGGGUUUCGAUCCGUAAACCCCUGUCAUUUGUGAACAAUGGUUAUUCAUGAAUAAUGAGUGACUUGAUAGUAAUGAAAGAGGAAGGGACGGCUAACUCUGUGCCAGCAGCCGCGGUAAUACAGAGGUCCCGAGCGUUGUUCGGAUUCACUGGGCGUAAAGGGUGCGUAGGUGGCAUGGUAAGUUUGAUGUGAAAGCUCAGGGCUCAACCCUGAAAUGGCAUUGAAUACUACUGUGCUGGAGGUUUGGAGGGGGGACUGGAAUUCUUGGUGUAGCAGUGAAAUGCGUAGAUAUCAAGAGGAACACCAGUGGCGAAGGCGAGUCCCUGGACAACACCUGACACUGAGGCACGAAAGCCGGGGGAGCAAACAGGAUUAGAUACCCUGGUAGUCCCGGCCUAAACGGUGCGCAUUUGCUGUAGGAGGAAUCGA
RNAcentral lists this ribosomal RNA (486 nucleotides) under uncultured Verrucomicrobiota bacterium. Its description in RNAcentral is "bacterial SSU rRNA". It matches the Rfam family "Bacterial small subunit ribosomal RNA", at positions 355 to 835 of the family's 1533-position model. Lineage: Bacteria; Pseudomonadati; Verrucomicrobiota. The record is from RNAcentral.